AUGGUGUUCAGGUGUUGGCUACAGUACUGAGCAGUGUACCGCAGUCCGUGACGCCACACAAAGAGAGAAUGGUUCCUGCCCACAGGGCCUGUCAAGACAUUGGGUUCCCUGUGCGAUGGUUCCAUACACA
This is a non-coding RNA of Engraulis encrasicolus (European anchovy), 130 nucleotides long. Lineage: Eukaryota; Metazoa; Chordata; Actinopteri; Clupeiformes; Engraulidae. The record is from RefSeq and is a predicted model, not a curated record.